This 480-nucleotide ribosomal RNA is filed under the name uncultured Clostridium sp. RNAcentral describes it as "bacterial SSU rRNA". It matches the Rfam family "Bacterial small subunit ribosomal RNA", at positions 8 to 507 of the family's 1533-position model. Lineage: Bacteria; Bacillati; Bacillota; Clostridia; Eubacteriales; Clostridiaceae. The record is from RNAcentral.
AGAGUUUGAUCCUGGCUCAGGACGAACGCUGGCGGCGUGCCUAACACAUGCAAGUCGAGCGAUGAAACCCUUCGGGGUGGAUUAGCGGCGGACGGGUGAGUAACACGUGGGUAACCUGCCUCAAAGAGGGGAAUAGCCUUCCGAAAGGAAGAUUAAUACCGCAUAAUAUGUUUUGGUCGCAUGACCUAGACAUCAAAGGAGUAAUCCGCUUUGAGAUGGACCCGCGGCGCAUUAGCUAGUUGGUGAGGUAACGGCUCACCAAGGCGACGAUGCGUAGCCGACCUGAGAGGGUGAUCGGCCACAUUGGAACUGAGACACGGUCCAGACUCCUACGGGAGGCAGCAGUGGGGAAUAUUGCGCAAUGGGGGAAACCCUGACGCAGCAACGCCGCGUGAAUGAUGAAGGCCUUCGGGUUGUAAAGUUCUGUCUUCUGGGACGAUAAUGACGGUACCAGAGGAGGAAGCCACGGCUAACUACGUG